UGGGGAAUCUUCCGCAAUGGACGAAAGUCUGACGGAGCAACGCCGCGUGAGUGAAGACGGCCUUCGGGUUGUAAAGCUCUGUGAUCCGGGACGAAAGAGCCUGAGGUAAAUAGCCUAAGGAAGUGACGGUACCGGAAAAGCAAGCCACGGCUAACUACGUGCCAGCAGCCGCGGUAAUACGUAGGUGGAAAGCGUUGUCCGGAAUUAUUGGGCGUAAAGCGCGCGCAGGCGGCUUACUAAGUCCAUCUUAAAAGUGCGGGGCUUAACCCCGUGAUGGGAUGGAAACUGGAAAGCUGGAGUAUCGGAGAGGAAAGUGGAAUUCCUAGUGUAGCGGUGAAAUGCGUAGAGAUUAGGAAGAACACCGGUGGCGAAGGCGACUUUCUGGACGAAAACUGACGCUGAGGCGCGAAAGCGUGGGGAGCAAACAGG
This 429-nucleotide ribosomal RNA is filed under the name Fusobacteriota bacterium. RNAcentral describes it as "Fusobacteria bacterium partial 16S ribosomal RNA". It matches the Rfam family "Bacterial small subunit ribosomal RNA", at positions 355 to 776 of the family's 1533-position model. Lineage: Bacteria; Fusobacteriati; Fusobacteriota. The record is from RNAcentral.